CGCAGCCGCGGUAAUUCCAGCUCCAAUAGCGUAUAUUAAAGUUGUUGCAGUUAAAAAGCUCGUAGUUGAAUUUCGGGGUUAGUAGGUUGGUCAUGCCUCUGGUAUGUACUGGUCUCACUGAUUCCUCCUUCCUGAUGAGCCGUAAUGCCAUUAAUUUGGUGUUGCGGGGAAUUUGGACUGUUACUUUGAAAAAAUUAGAGUGUUUAAAGCAGGCAUUUUUGCUUGAAUACAUUAGCAUGGAAUAAUAAAAUAGGACGGCAUGGUUCUAUUUUGUUGGUUUCUAGGACCACCGUAAUGAUUAAUAGGGAUAGUUGGGGGCAUUAGUAUUCAAUUGUCAGAGGUGAAAUUCUUGGAUUUAUUGAAGACUAACUACUGCGAAAGCAUUUGCCAAGGAUGUUUUCAUUAAUCAAGAACGAAAGUUAGGGAUCGAAGACGAUCAGAUACCGUCGU
This 450-nucleotide ribosomal RNA is filed under the name uncultured Glomeromycotina. Its description in RNAcentral is "SSU rRNA". It matches the Rfam family "Eukaryotic small subunit ribosomal RNA", at positions 569 to 1021 of the family's 1831-position model. Lineage: Eukaryota; Fungi; Glomeromycota. The record is from RNAcentral.